This 794-nucleotide ribosomal RNA is filed under the name uncultured Methanosaeta sp. RNAcentral's name for it is "bacterial SSU rRNA". It matches the Rfam family "Archaeal small subunit ribosomal RNA", at positions 85 to 879 of the family's 1478-position model. Lineage: Archaea; Methanobacteriati; Methanobacteriota; Methanomicrobia; Methanotrichales; Methanotrichaceae. The record is from RNAcentral.
ACUGCUCAGUAACACGUGGACAACCUACCCUUGGGUCUGGCAUAAUCCUGGGAAACUGGGUAUAAUUCCGGAUAGGUCACAGAUGCUGGAAUGCACUGUGGCCGAAAGCUCCGGCGCCCAAGGAUGGGUCUGCGGCCUAUCAGGGUUGUAGUGGGUGUAACGGACCUACUAGCCUACGACGGGUACGGGUUGUGAGAGCAAGAGCCCGGAGAUGGAUUCUGAGACACGAAUCCAGGCCCUACGGGGUGCAGCAGGCGCGAAAACUUUACAAUGCGGGAAACCGUGAUAAGGGAAUCUCGAGUGCCAGCAUAUAAUGUUGGCUGUCCAGAUGCCUAAAAAGCAUCUGUUAGCAAGGGCCGGGCAAGACCGGUGCCAGCCGCCGCGGUAACACCGGCGGCCCGAGUGAUAACCGCUUUUAUUGGGUCUAAAGGGUCUGUAGCCGGCCAAGUAAGUCCCUUGGGAAAUCUGGCAGCUUAACUGUCAGGCUGCUAGGGGAUACUGCUAGGCUUGGGACCGGGAGAGGUGAGAGGUACCUUGGGGGUAGGGGUGAAAUCUUGUGAUCCUCGGGGGACCACCAGUGGCGAAGGCGUCUCACCAGAACGGGUCCGACGGUAAGGGACGAAAGCUAGGGGCACGAACCGGAUUAGAUACCCGGGUAGUCCUAGCCGUAAACGAUGCUCGCUAGGUGUCAGUCACGGUGCGACCGUGAUUGGUGCCGUAGGGAAGCCGUGAAGCGAGCCACCUGGGAAGUAUGGCCGCAAGGCUGAAACUUAAAGGAAUUGGCGGGGGAGCAC